GACGAACGCUGGCGGAGUGCUUAACACAUGCAAGUCGAACGGUGAAGCGCCUUCCUUUUUGGUGGGUGUGGAUGAGUGGCGAACGGGUGAGUAACACGUGAGUAACCUGCCCCCUUCUUCUGGAUAACCGCAUGAAAGUGUGGCUAAUACGGGAUAUUCUGGGUCUGUCGCAUGAUGGGUCUGGGAAAGAUAUUGUUUCGGUGGGGGAUGGGCUCGCGGCCUAUCAGCUUGUUGGUGGGGUGAUGGCCUACCAAGGCGGUGACGGGUAGCCGGCCUGAGAGGGUGGACGGUCACACUGGGACUGAGACACGGCCCAGACUCCUACGGGAGGCAGCAGUGGGGAAUAUUGCACAAUGGGCGCAAGCCUGAUGCAGCGACGCCGCGUGAGGGAUGGAGGCCUUCGGGUUGUGAACCUCUUUCGCCAGUGAAGCAGGCCUGCCUCGUUUGUGGGUGGGUUGACGGUAGCUGGAUAAGAAGCGCCGGCUAACUACGUG
Molecule: ribosomal RNA, 494 nt
Filed under: uncultured bacterium
Lineage: Bacteria
Description: partial 16S ribosomal RNA
Rfam family: Bacterial small subunit ribosomal RNA
Source: RNAcentral